UUAAGUUCAGCGGGUAGUCCUACCUGAUUUGAGGUCAAAUAGUCAAUAAAUUGUCUGAAACAACAGACGGUUAGAAAGCAGAUAAAUUUCCCACAAUCAGAUAAAGCAACUUAAUGCGAUAUCACAACCAGGAUCUAGCCUAAGCACACCUGACAGUUGAACCAAGCAAAGCGUAGAUAAUUAUCACACCAAGAUGGACC
RNAcentral lists this unclassified non-coding RNA (200 nucleotides) under Rhodocollybia sp. RNAcentral's name for it is "partial internal transcribed spacer 2". The record is from RNAcentral. Lineage: Eukaryota; Fungi; Basidiomycota; Agaricomycetes; Agaricales; Omphalotaceae.